Molecule: ribosomal RNA, 468 nt
Filed under: uncultured bacterium
Lineage: Bacteria
Description: partial 16S ribosomal RNA
Rfam family: Bacterial small subunit ribosomal RNA
Source: RNAcentral
GACGAACGCUGGCGGCGUGCUUAACACAUGCAAGUCGAACGGAAAGGCCCUGCUUUUGUGGGGUGCUCGAGUGGCGAACGGGUGAGUAACACGAGAGUAACCUGCCCUUGACUUUGGGAUAACUUCAGGAAACUGGGGCUAAUACCGGAUAGGAGCUCCUGCUGCAUGGUGGGGGUUGGAAAGUUUCGGCGGUUGGGGAUGGACUCGCGGCUUAUCAGCUUGUUGGUGGGGUAGUGGCUUACCAAGGCUUUGACGGGUAGCCGGCCUGAGAGGGUGACCGGCCACAUUGGGACUGAGAUACGGCCCAGACUCCUACGGGAGGCAGCAGUGGGGAAUAUUGCACAAUGGGCGGGAGCCUGAUGCAGCAACGCCGCGUGCGGGAUGACAGCCUUCGGGUUGUAAACCGCUUUCGCCUGUGACGAAGCGUGAGUGACGGUAAUGGGUAAAGAAGCACCGGCUAACUACGUG